GACGAACGCUGGCGGCGCGCUUAACACAUGCAAGUCGAACGCUGAAGCCCAGCUUUUGUUGGGUGGAUGAGUGGCGAACGGGUGAGUAACACGUGAGUAACCUGCCCCCUUCUUUGGGAUAACGCCCGGAAACGGGUGCUAAUACUGGAUAUUCACUGGUCUUCGCAUGGGGGUUGGUGGAAAGGGUUUUUCUGGUGGGGGAUGGGCUCGCGGCCUAUCAGCUUGUUGGUGGGGUGAUGGCCUACCAAGGCUUUGACGGGUAGCCGGCCUGAGAGGGUGACCGGUCACAUUGGGACUGAGAUACGGCCCAGACUCCUACGGGGGGCGGCAGUGGGGAAUAUUGCGCAAUGGGCGCAAGCCUGAUGCAGCGACGCCGCGUGAGGGAUGGAGGCCUUCGGGUUGUGAACCUCUUUCGCUCAUGGUCAAGCCGCAACAAUGGUUGUGGUGAGGGUAGUGGGUAAAGAAGCGCCGGCUAACUACGUG
This 483-nucleotide ribosomal RNA is filed under the name uncultured bacterium. Its description in RNAcentral is "partial 16S ribosomal RNA". It matches the Rfam family "Bacterial small subunit ribosomal RNA", at positions 28 to 507 of the family's 1533-position model. The record is from RNAcentral.